GAUGAACGCUAGCGACAGGCUUAACACAUGCAAGUCGAGGGGCAGCGGGGGUGCAGGCUUGCCUGCACCUGCCGGCGACCGGCGCACGGGUGAGUAACACGUAUGGAACCUGCCCGCCACAGGGGGAUAACCCGGGGAAACCCGGCCUAAUACCCCAUGCCGCCCGGACCGGGCAUCCGGUCCGGGCGAAAGGAGGAAUCCGGUGGCGGCUGGGCAUGCGGCGCAUUAGCUUGACGGCGGGGUAACGGCCCACCGUGGCGACGAUGCGUAGGGGUUCUGAGAGGAAGGCCACCCACACUGGAACUGAGACACGGUCCAG
This 319-nucleotide ribosomal RNA is filed under the name uncultured bacterium. RNAcentral describes it as "bacterial SSU rRNA". It matches the Rfam family "Bacterial small subunit ribosomal RNA", at positions 28 to 334 of the family's 1533-position model. The record is from RNAcentral.